Molecule: long non-coding RNA, 2768 nt
Filed under: Aquilegia coerulea
Lineage: Eukaryota; Viridiplantae; Streptophyta; Magnoliopsida; Ranunculales; Ranunculaceae
Description: long non-coding RNA (ACOE_LNC001870)
Source: RNAcentral
AUAACAAUUGACUAUAUACAAAUUCAUUUUCUAUUAACCGAUAAGUUGUGCAAUUCCCAAAGAACAAAAAAAUUAUUUGACAUAUAAUGACAUACAGUCAGAAACGACAACACAAAUCAUCAACCCAUGCAUGCAACUUGUUGCUCAACGAGGUGAACGAUCCAGAAGAGACUGAUAACUGCAAUAAUGGCCCUGCUUGGUUACCCCGCAAAACUUUGCAUGAAAUUUAGCCUAAUUUAAUAUGCUUGAAACUCUUGAUAAUUAGUUUUAUGAACAAAAUUUAUGCAAAACUUUGGUGUUAUUUCAAAAGUGCAAAAUUUUUACACCUUUCUCUAAUAAACUUAGUAGGGGACCAUCUAUGAUUAUCUCAUGUUUAUGCAAGGUUUAAGUGGGGGACCAAUAGGGUUUAAGGUAAAAUAGGUGGGGGACCAUUCAAAUCAAAGAGUAAACUUAGGAGGGACCACUCUAACUAUAGAUGGGUAAAUAUUUGCCUUUUUUGCAGCCCAAACAAGCAGGGCCAAUAUAUAAAAGAAAUAUUGCUUGUCAGAAUAGAUGAUUUAGUCCAACGAUCUUAUUUUCUUUCAUAUUUACUUAGCUAAUUUCAUGGUGGGCAAUACGCAAAACUAUAAUAUAUAUUAAGGAAUGUGUGUGUUACGUAAUACUAGUGUUGUAGGAACUUGCGACUCUGAUUUCACAUACCUAAUUUCUUCACCAUGCAAGAUCUGCCAACUCCUUUUAAUAUCAGAUAUAGAAUCUUCAGCUGCAAGAAACUUUAAAAUGACGUUCCAUUUCAUAAAAGUCGCAACCAAUAGUAAGCAACGCAAAUUGAUGUGUUCGAACACAAAAUAAAAUAAUGGAAAAAGGCAAAUAUCGCCUGAAAUCCAAUUACCGCCAUUUUACUGUCAUCAAAAGAAUAAGAAGAUAUUGAGAAUAAGGAACCACCAUUAAGUGCAAAUCAGAAGUAACAAAAAACACUGAUCUUGAGUGCAUUUUAAUAGGGUCUGCUUCAUUGAAGUGGUUAGCUUCAAAUGCACCCAUUGUUUGUUGAGAAACACCAUAUCCAAGUGUUAUCAAGUAAAUUGAUACAUACUAUACAAUGAUCAUUAAGUAAGAAAUUCCAUUUAUGUAAUCUACUUGCCAGACAGUACAACCUUCUGACCCUGGCAAAAUUAUCAUCAAAGCAAAGGAAAAAAGAUAUCAUCCAAAAUCCAAAGUGUACCUUCAGUUUCUCACAAUCAUUCACCAAAAAGUUUAAAGGCCCAAUGACAUUCAGGACUUGUGAUUCAAGUUUAUUAUCCUCUUCUUUUGAUUAAUAUUUUCUUUGUAACCUUUGACAUUGCCAUAAACUACCUUCGUAACUAGCAGUCCACCUUUCUCUUAUUGCUUGUUUCUCUUCCUAUUGCCCACACUUUGUAGUAAUCGUUAAGCUUUCUCUGCUGCUUCCCUUGCCUCUCGACCUGCAUAAAUAAACAUAACAAACCUAAGUUUCAACUGACUGCAAGGGUUUCUACAUCCAACAGAAGGUCCAAUCCACCAUUUUUCGUAGUAUAUUAUUCACUCACUUCAAGUAAAAUGACAACAUAUACCUCAAAACAUAUUUUUCUAUGUUGCUUUACAAAACUACAUAUACUUGACAUGGCAGAGUAAUCUAGUAGCCAACAUCUUCCAGCAGAUUAACAGUUAAAAGUGCCUAUAGGAUGAUCAAGUAGAGUACAUUGACGAAAAUAUGUCCAAAACUAGUAAUACAACAACAUGCAUUUGCUACAUCAUUCAUAGUAUAAAAAGGUUGAUGCAUAAAAAGGUUCUGAAUACCUCAUUCAUAUUAAUAAAAACAUUUCGCUAAUAAGCAUUCAAAUUUGGAAUCCAUAACAAUUCAAUUUUAAUAGCAGAAAAAAAAAUCUAUGAAAAUAGAAAUCAAAUAUGGGAGCUGGUAUGUAUAGAUCACUAUGUUUGUGUCUUUAAGUCAAGAAAAUAAAAAUUAAAUACAAACAGAAUUUUUGAGGACAAGAAUUAAACACGAGAGCCAAACAAGUAUCCUCCUGAUAUUAAUCAAUAAUGAUAAUAAAAGCUUUGUGCACUUUGUAGACUACGACAAAGAUAAUUAUGUUUGCUAAGACUAAGAUUGCAGCUGAGAUCAUAAGUGUAUAUGUGGGUGUUGUUGUACAUUUUAACUCGAUGCAAAAAAGUUAAGUACCUCACAAGUAACAAGUCACUGGAACGAGUUGGGCCUUUUUCGAGCCAAAGUUGUAAUUCACCAAUUCUACAAGAUGAUAAAACAAUACAAGUCAGUGAUUGAUUCAAUAAUCGAAUUGGUUUAAUAAAAAAAAAAAAAAAAAAAGGUCAGAAACUAUUGUAGAAGAUGAAGAUAAUGGAGAUACUAGGCUAUGGAGUGCAAUUCUAUCAACAAGUUACCAUCCCAUGUCCAUGGGAAACCUCUGACUCUGGAAUUAUCAAGCUCAAUGUGGUACCAUAUCUAGAGAGAUAGCUGGUUAUGGAGGGAUCUAUGUAGGAGAAAGGAAGGCUAUAUGCCAGCGUGUACUUGUAAUUAUUUAACCCUUUGUUAAUACAAAAUACCCGCUUCCUUUUGCAAGAAAAAAAUAAAUAUGCUGGGUACAUUAAUUAGACAAAGAGCAAAUUUUUGGCAGUCGUACAAUGGCCACUAGCACAACUGCUACAUCAUGGAAACUGCUACAUAACUGUGCAGUAACAAAGGAAAAGUUGAAGAAGAGAGGUGUGCAUAUGGCAUCAAUGUGUGCAGUUUGUAGGCA